UGCUUUCAAGACGUGAAGACUUUAAAGAUCCUCCGACAUUGAAGACUUGAAAGGACAUCAGAGUUUUGAGAACUCGAAGACCAAAGACCAUCGAAGUUCGAGACGAGUCUACAACUAUAGAAGAUAAAGACAAAGCUACAGCCAAGGGGGAGUUUGUUGAUGCACUUGUUGUUGGUGCACUUGUGUCUGUACUUUGUCUGUAUUCGGUCACGAUGUAAACGAUGUCCUGUUCUUGUGUUGUAAGUUGACCAAGUCAACCAUCCUCCGGUUUGACUUGGACAACAGUUGGUAAAAGUUGAAAGAUGUACUGUCUCGAAGGAUAAGAGAUCGAAGGAUGAUAUGGAUCCUUCGAUCUCAUCGAAAGAUAUGCUUCGAAUGAUUAGACCUCGAAAGAUGAUCUUUCGAGGUCCCUGCUGAUCUUUCGAGUGACUUGUCUUCGAUAGAUGAUCCUUCGGACCAUCUAUCGGAUCCUUCGGACUGCACAUCAUGAGCUGGGUAUAAAUACCCAUGCAUUGUGUUGAGUUCAGUAGGACAGACAGAGAGAACACACACAUCCGAGAGAUAGCUUUGAGAGCAUUCUGUCCGAAACUCACACACACACUUUGAGAGUUUACAAGUUAGGUUUGUAAACAUUGUGCUUGUAACCGAAACCUUCAUUUGCAUUAAUACAAGUUGUGUUAAUCGGUGAACCCUUGUGUGUUGUGUUUAUACUUGCUUAAUCCCGGUUUGCUCGCUAGCUUGGAUUCCGCACUCGCUAGUGGGUUAGUAUAACAAGGUUUGAGGUUCGUCAUCCGACAAAAAGGGAC
This 806-nucleotide long non-coding RNA is filed under the name Helianthus annuus (common sunflower). RNAcentral's name for it is "hypothetical non coding rna". Lineage: Eukaryota; Viridiplantae; Streptophyta; Magnoliopsida; Asterales; Asteraceae. The record is from RNAcentral.